Molecule: ribosomal RNA, 486 nt
Filed under: uncultured bacterium
Lineage: Bacteria
Description: partial 16S ribosomal RNA
Rfam family: Bacterial small subunit ribosomal RNA
Source: RNAcentral
GAUGAACGCUGGCGGCGUGCUUAACACAUGCAAGUCGAACGGAAAGGCCCCAGCUUGCUGGGGUACUCGAGUGGCGAACGGGUGAGUAACACGUGGGUGAUCUGCCCUGCACUUUGGGAUAAGCUUGGGAAACUGGGUCUAAUACCGAAUAUGACCACUUCUUGGAUGUUGUGGUGGAAAGCUUUUGCGGUGUGGGAUGAGCCUGCGGCCUAUCAGCUUGUUGGUGGGGUAAUGGCCUACCAAGGCGGCGACGGGUAUCCGGCCUGAGAGGGUGUACGGACACGUUGGGACUGAGAUACGGACCAGACUCCGACGGGAGGCAGCAGUGGGGAAUAUUGCACAAUGGGCGCAAGCCUGAUGCAGCGACGCCGCGUGGGGGAUGAAGGCCUUCGGGUUGUAAACUCCUUUCGCUAUCGACGAAGCCACUUGUGGUGACGGUAGGUAGAUAAGAAGCACCGGCUAACUACGUGCCAGCCGCCGCAGUAA